AAUAUGUUAUUUAUUUAAGUAAAUUAAAUCACCUCUAUUGGAUAGAAGUUAGGUUUUAUCACCUGUAGCUUAAGGGAUGAGUCAGAGGAAUUCGAGAAGUGAAAUUUACGCUGUAGUCCUAUUAGUUGCUACUUAAGUCAUCUAAAAAUUUGCCAUGUCAACAUACUUAGAUCAUAAUUAUCCAGACUAGCAUAUUAAAGUUACAUUUAAAAUAUA
Molecule: long non-coding RNA, 216 nt
Filed under: Trifolium pratense (red clover)
Lineage: Eukaryota; Viridiplantae; Streptophyta; Magnoliopsida; Fabales; Fabaceae
Description: long non-coding RNA (TPRA_LNC009989)
Source: RNAcentral